UGGCUCAGACGGUAAAGCGUCUGCUUGCAAUGCAGGAGACCCAGGUUCGAUUCCUGG
This 57-nucleotide transfer RNA is filed under the name Ovis aries (sheep). It matches the Rfam family "tRNA", at positions 8 to 63 of the family's 71-position model. Rfam says of the family: Transfer RNA (tRNA) molecules are approximately 80 nucleotides in length. Their secondary structure includes four short double-helical elements and three loops (D, anti-codon, and T loops). Further hydrogen bonds mediate the characteristic L-shaped molecular structure. tRNAs have two regions of fundamental functional importance: the anti-codon, which is responsible for specific mRNA codon recognition, and the 3' end, to which the tRNAs corresponding amino acid is attached (by aminoacyl-tRNA synthetases). tRNAs cope with the degeneracy of the genetic code in two manners: having more than one tRNA (with a specific anti-codon) for a particular amino acid; and 'wobble' base-pairing, i.e. permitting non-standard base-pairing at the 3rd anti-codon position. Lineage: Eukaryota; Metazoa; Chordata; Mammalia; Artiodactyla; Bovidae. The record is from Rfam by way of RNAcentral.